Microdochium nivale is the source of this 98-nucleotide non-coding RNA. The record is from the annotation of a GenBank genome assembly. NCBI's taxonomy places the organism in Eukaryota, Fungi, Ascomycota, Sordariomycetes, Xylariales, Microdochiaceae.
GGGCUUGUGGUUUAGUGGUAUAAUACUCCCUUAGCAUCAUGAGUUGACUUUCAACCGCUGAUUGGGAGUGGUCCAGGGUUCGAUUCCCUGCAAGUCCA